Molecule: ribosomal RNA, 253 nt
Filed under: uncultured bacterium
Lineage: Bacteria
Description: partial 16S ribosomal RNA
Rfam family: Bacterial small subunit ribosomal RNA
Source: RNAcentral
UACGUAGGGGGCUAGCGUUGUCCGGAAUCAUUGGGCGUAAAGAGCGUGUAGGCGGCCCGGUAAGUCCGCUGUGAAAGUCGGGGGCUCAACCCUCGAAUGCCGGUGGAUACUGUCGGGCUAGAGUGCGGAAGAGGCGAGUGGAAUUCCUGGUGUAGCGGUGAAAUGCGCAGAUAUCAGGAGGAACACCAGCGGCGAAGGCGGCGCUCUGGGCCGGAACUGACGCUGAGGAGCGAAAGCGUGGGGAGCAAACAGG